This 3354-nucleotide long non-coding RNA is filed under the name Gossypium barbadense (sea-island cotton). Its description in RNAcentral is "long non-coding RNA (GBAR_LNC009293)". The record is from RNAcentral. Lineage: Eukaryota; Viridiplantae; Streptophyta; Magnoliopsida; Malvales; Malvaceae.
CCCAUAUCUAUUAAACCUUGCUAUAAAUAUCUUUUCUUUUUUUUGCCUUUAGUCAUUAUUCUUCAGCCCUAGCCGCCCCUUUCCCUUUCUCUUAUAUUUUCUUCUUCAAUUUUUCUUUUUCCUUCCCUGGUGUGCCACUACCCAAACACCUAGCUCAACUACUCUUUUUCCUUCAUUAUCCGUGGAUCUUUACACCAUUCUCCCCAUCUCCUUGCUGCUGUUUUAUCAUAAUAUUUCCAGCCUUAGAUCUAAAAUUUUUAACACUAAAAAAUGGUCUCCAUUGCUGCCCUAGAAGGUCUUCAUUGUCGCCUCUCUCUUCUUCCUAGAGUAAGUGUAUUUUUUCUUCUGCUUUCUUGACAAAUUUCUCCAUAAAAGACCCACAUUUCUAGAUCUGAAAUUUUAAAGGUUUUUAAGGGUUUAAAUGAUGAAUUUCUAGUUUUUAAACUCAUUUUUAUUAGGCCUCAAUUUUGGCCGCCAGUGGUGGAAAUAGAUAUUGAAUGCAUGAGAUAUUUGUUUAGGGUGAAAUGUUGUGGAAUGUACUAUAUGAAAAAUUAUUAUACAUCCACUAAAAGAUUUCCUAAAAUGGUAACGGAUAACAGUAUGCUAGAAUGUCACCGUGUUGAUGGUGAAAUUGAAUGCUUGAUAAGUGAAUGUUAUAAUGAGGGCAUGUAAAGCAUUCUACUGAAAUGGAAACGUAUAAAAUGUGUGUUUGACUGAAAUUCGUAUGACAUGUCGCAUGUGCAUGGGGUGGGAUUAUGUGGUUGAAGGAGGAGUUCUGUGGAGUAAUGGUGACAUGCUAAGUCCGCAUAUGUGUUGUCAGUGCACUGCACUGAGAGUAAUUAGGAGAACGGUGAUUAUAUCACAUUUUAUCUUGAAUGACAAUACAACUACAUUACAUAUAAUGGUGGUUUAACCACAUCGAGCUUUGCUCGCAAUGAUUAGAGUUUGGUAGAUGGUUUCUAGGAACUCCUGGUGUGUAGCGGUUGGUUGGGGUAGGAAAUCAUUCUACAUUAUAAUAUGUCCAUGACACUUAUGAAUAAUAAUGUUUAUGUUAUGUUUGUGUUGCAAUAUUAAUAAUGGUGAAUGAUAUUUGCAUGAAUGUUCGGAUUUACUUGUGGUUUAGACUCACAUUGAGCUAGUUAGCUCGCCCCAUAGUUUCAACCAUCAUAGGUAAUGCUCGAGACUAGGAUCGGACAUUACAUGCGGACAUAUGACAGACUUCGGAUUUUAUUAUUAUUUUGCUUGAAUUUUAAUUAAAUAUAUUUUGCUUUUGGACUGUAAAGCUAUUUGAAUUGUGGUUGGGUUUGUUUUUUCUACUUUGGGAUUUUCAUGCUUGUAUACUUAACAUAUAGAUUUGGUUUGAUAGGAAUAUGUGAAAUUCGACAAAGCAUGAUAUUUGACUAUAACGAUUAAUCUAUUAAAUAUCGAGUUUUCCCUGUAAUAAAAUAAAAGAUAACAAAGUUUUUGAUAAGAAACGAUGAGUUAAGUGAUUUCUAAACCAUGCUAAUGCUAAUAACGAGACUUAAGAAUGGUUGAAUUAAUUAAUGAGUUGUUUUCCCAAAUUAACAAUGGUAAAUCGCGAUUUUUCCUAAAAGAGAUGGUACUUAAGGUUUUCAACAAACGAUAAAGUAGCUUUACCUCGUAAGUGACCAAUGUGAUCUUCAUGAUUCAGCCAUAGUGUCUAGGCUGAGAUUGGAGGUUACAAAAUAUGAAUGAUUACAGGGUUGAAUAAGAAAAUAAGGACAAUUAAUGCCCAUGUGAACUUAGUAAAAACUUAGGAUACGAUUGGCAUGCCAAUAGGGUCAUAUGUGUGUUUGAUCGAAGAUUAUUAUAGAUUAUAAUGAGAUCUAGCAUCUAUUAUAGAUUCUCAGGUAAUAUAACAAGAUCUAGCCUUUGAGCUAGCUUUUGUUACAGAUUCUUGGGUAAUGUAAAAAGAUCUAGCUUUUGCUACAGAUUCUCGAGUAAUGUAAUGAGAUCCAGCCCUUGUUGUGGAUUCUCAGGUAAAAUAUGACAUAGGUUUGGCCCAGACAGUAACUUGAUGUAAUUUCAACUCGGAUGAGCAACUUAAUUCACCCAUGUAUCUGAGUCUGUUUUAUUAGGGUUCCCACCGGAUGAAACAUUAUAAUUGAAAAUUGGAAACUUGAAAAUGCAUUGAAAUGAAUAUUGUGUAAAUGGUGUAAUCUUAUAUAUUGAUAUUAUAAUGCGGUAUUGAAAUGAAUUAUGUGAAAUCGAUAUGAGAGUGUGACAAAUAGUAUAUUUUAUGGAAUUAAUUGUGCAUAUAUAUGUGUGAAUCAAUUGAAAUUGAACCCCGGGGGUCGGAAUCAAUGUGAAUGAGUCUAUUGCCUCGAGAUAGGGAUUUGAAUGAUAAGUUAAAUAGGUGAAUGAUGUCAAUUUAAUAUGGAAUUAGUAAGUAUGAUGUUAAGGUAUAUAAAUGUAUGUUUGGUUCAUGAUUAUAUUGAAUAUGAAUACAGUAUAAGGAUUGAUAUUUGAUAUGAAAUAUAUAUAUAUUGAUAAUUUCUUUUAUACACAUGAAAUGGAUUCAGUUACUAAAUGACAUAUAUGCACCCCAAUAUGUUAUGGUAUGAUAUAAAUUGGAUAAGCAAUGUAUUUGCACUUUGUGAUCAAUUGCUAAUGUUUAAGAUAUGUUAUACUGAAUCAUGAAAGUACCACUAAGCUUUAUCGUUCAGCAUACGGUUUGUUUAUUUCGUGCAUAGGUACAAAUAUAUCUCAAGGUUCCAAGAAGUGGUUCCAGCAUCUAGGAGAUAGCCCUCAACUCAGCAAUGUUUGUAUAGUACCUUUCAUUUUUGUUUUUGGCAAGUACCUAGGUUUGAAUUGGUUUUGUAUAUCAUAUAUGGUUAAGUUGAUGUUUAAGUUAGAAUGACUAAUUUGAUAUGUUAAAUUGGUAUUGUAAAUACUAUGCAUUGUGAUGGUUGAAAAUUGAAAUGAUUUCAAUAGGUAUAUGCCGUGUUAUGUUAAAUGAGAUAAUUUUUUGUCAAGUGGUCAAAUGGUUGCAAAUAUAGAAGUUGUCAUGGGUAGCAAAGUGUUGAAUGACAUUUUGUAUAAUGCAUAUGUGUAAAUGUUGAUAAGUGGUAAGAAUUGAACAUAUGAAAGUAGCACAUUUGGUUGGUUGGUUGAAUGAAAGAAAUGGGUAAUGUGUUUAGGUGAAUUGAGUAGGCUCCAAAUGGCCUUUUUUGCAAACAAACGGUUACGUCACGAUGUGAAGCCCUUUUCAUUGCGAUGAAACCGAUUCAAUGAGUUACGUUGCGAUGAGGAACCCUUGAAGUUGUAACGUCAUCUCAAUAUUUUAUAAUCUUUACAAUUUGGUCCUAAUUCGACCAUAGGUUAGAAAAAGAG